Ctenopharyngodon idella (grass carp) is the source of this 490-nucleotide long non-coding RNA. RefSeq lists it as uncharacterized. The transcript is spliced from 2 exons. The record is from RefSeq and is a predicted model, not a curated record. NCBI's taxonomy places the organism in Eukaryota, Metazoa, Chordata, Actinopteri, Cypriniformes, Xenocyprididae.
UGCACCGCCUCCAGCUCGUUCUGCAGCUCCAGCUGCUCCGCAGACAACUCCCUCAGCCUGGCUGCCUCACCCCCGCGCACUGCCUCCAGCUCCUACACACACACGCACAUCAAGACAUGCAUCAAACAAUGAGUGGCAAAGGACCACAAAAGAGCUUCUCAGAUACACAACUAGUCCAUCUCCCUCACUCUGAUCAAACCUCUAGUGAGCUGCCUAUUUAGAGGAGCAUUUUUAGACAUCCACCCGACAUGAAGGCUGCUCCAAACAGAAGGCAGCAAAAUCACGCUGCGUUUUAAGAGACCCGUUUAGGCCAAAAUCUAGGGCAGAAUCGCAUGAAUCACUUUGCGGAUGAAGCAAUCCCAGAUGCAAUACGACAAGCUUAAUGACUUUCAUGGCAGCAGGAAAUGAUUAUGAACAUUGUAUAUGUACAUAUUUAUGCAUCAGUGUGUAUACAAAGUUGCAUCUAAUUAAAAAUUUACUAUUUUAUUGA